RNAcentral lists this ribosomal RNA (1575 nucleotides) under uncultured Glomeromycotina. Its description in RNAcentral is "eukaryotic LSU rRNA". The stretch from base 734 to 1575 matches the Rfam family "Eukaryotic large subunit ribosomal RNA", at positions 1 to 695 of the family's 3401-position model. Lineage: Eukaryota; Fungi; Glomeromycota. The record is from RNAcentral.
UUUCGCUCUUCAACGAGGAAUCCCUGGUAAGCACAAGUCAUCAGCUUGUGCUGAUUACGUCCCUGCCCUUUGUACACACCGCCCGUCGCUACUACCGAUUGAAUGGCUUAGUGAGACCUUCGGAUCGAUGUUCAUCGACUGUAAAAAGUUUUUGUUCGUUGAAAAGUUGGUCAAACUUGGUCAUUUAGAGGAAGUAAAAGUCGUAACAAGGUUUCCGUAGGUGAACCUGCGGAAGGAUCAUUAUCAAUCUUUUGCACGAAAAAAAUAAUAUUUUUUUUUCGUGCAUUAUGUAUUUAAAACCCACACUUUUUUUUAAAAAAAUGCAUUAUUAUUAUUUUUUUUACUUUUGUAAGUAAAUUAUAAGAUCACUUUCAACAACGGAUCUCUUGGUUCUCGCAUCGAUGAAGAACGUAGCGAAGUGCGAUAAGUAAUGUGAAUUGCAGAAUUCCGUGGAUCAUCGAAUUUUUGAACGCAAAUUGCACUCUUCUCUCGAAGAGUAUGCCUGUUUGAGGGUCGUAAAAAUAAAAAAAUCGAUAUAUAUGUCACCAUUUUUUUUUGUGUGGCAUUUCGGAAUUGGGCUAUCUUAAAUCUUGGUGUUUAAGUGGCUUAAAAUUGAUUAUCAUCAUGGUAUGAUUUUGAACGUAUUAAGAUUUUUUUAUUGCGUUUAAUUGAUAACCAAUAUUUUAUUAGGCGACUAUUGAUCAUAGCUUUCGUGCUUAUAAUUUAUGAAAUUUGACCUCAAAUCAGGUAGGAUUACCCGCUGAACUUAAGCAUAUCAAUAAGCGGAGGAAAAGAAAAUAACAAUGAUUCCCCUAGUAACGGCGAGCGAAGAGGGAAUAGCUCAAAUUUUAAAUCUGUUAGGUUUUACCUAACCGAGUUGUAAUUUGAAGAAGCGUUUUCCGCGUUUUCGGUUAACCCAAAUCCUUUGGGAUAAGGUAUCAUGGAGGGUGAGAAUCCCGUCCGGUUAAAUCGAGUCGCUUUACGAUACGCUUUCUAAGAGUCGAGUUGUUUGGGAUUGCAGCUCAAAAUGGGAGGUAAAUUUCCCCUAAGGCUAAAUACAGGCGAGAGACCGAUAGCGAACAAGUACCGUGAGGGAAAGAUGAAAAGAACUUUGAAAAGAGAGUUAAACAGUACGUGAAAUUGUUGAAAGGGAAACGAUUAAAGUCAGUCAUACUGACGGGGAAUCAACCUUUUUGAGCGUGUAUUCGUGGGACUCAAAAAGAUUUUUGUGCUCAUGACAUUCGCGUUUAUUUGGUGCACUUUCUCGUGUUGUAGGUUAGCAUCGGUUUUUGACCGUUAUAAAAUGAUUGAAGGAAUGUAGCUUCGAUUUCGGUUGAAGUGUUAUAACCUUUGGUAGAUGUAACGGUUAGGACCGAGGAUUGCAACGGAUGCCCCUAUCGGGCUAUUCGUCUGGCCUCUGAUACGUCACUUUGGCGUCGAAAGCUUGCUUACGAUGUUAAAGCGUGCGGUUAAAAGGUUAGAACGGAUUAAAUUCGUUAAGGAUGCUGACGUAAUGGCUUUAAACGACCCGUCUUGAAACACGGACCAAGGAGUCUAACAUGUGUGCGAGUGUUU